UGCGUAGGCGGAAUAAUAAGUCAGUGGUGAAAUCCUGUGGCUCAACCACAGAACUGCCAUUGAUACUGUUAUUCUUGAAUAUAGUUGAGGUAGGCGGAAUGUGUAAUGUAGCGGUGAAAUGCUUAGAUAUUACGCAGAACACCGAUUGCGAAGGCAGCUUGCUAAACUAUUAUUGACGCUGAGGCACGAAAGCGUGGGGAGCGAACAGGAUUAGAUACCCUGGUAGUCC
RNAcentral lists this ribosomal RNA (229 nucleotides) under uncultured bacterium. RNAcentral describes it as "partial 16S ribosomal RNA". It matches the Rfam family "Bacterial small subunit ribosomal RNA", at positions 568 to 796 of the family's 1533-position model. The record is from RNAcentral.